ACUAUUAGAAAUAGUAGCUAAUACCGAAUAAGGUCAAUUGAGGUGUUAAUUGAUGAAAGGAAGCCUUUAAAGCUUCGCUUGUAGAUGAGUCUGCGUCUUAUUAGCUAGUUGGUGGGAUAAGAGCCUACCAAGGCUAUGAUAAGUAACCGGCCUGAGAGGGUGAUCGGUCACACUGGAACUGAGAUACGGUCCAGACUCCUACGGGAGGCAGCAGCUAAGAAUCUUCCGCAAUGGGCGAAAGCCUGACGGAGCGACACUGCGUGAACGAAGAAGGUCGAAAGAUUGUAAAGUUCUUUUAUAAGUGAGGAAUAAGCUUUGUAGGAAAUGACAAAGUGAUGACGUUAAUUUAUGAAUAAGCCCCGGCUAAUUACGUGCCAGCAGCCGCGGUAAUACGUAAGGGGCGAGCGUUGUUCGGGAUCAUUGGGCGUAAAGGGUGAGUAGGCGGAUAUGCAAGUCUAUGUGUAAAAUACCACAGCUCAACUGUGGAACUAUGCUGGAAACUGCAUGACUAGAGUCUGAUAGGGGAAGUUAGAAUUCCUGGUGUAAGGGUGGAAUCUGUUGAUAUCAGGAAGAAUACCAGAGGCGAAGGCGAACUUCUAGGUCAAGACUGACGCUGAGUCACGAAAGCGUAGGGAGCAAACAGGAUUAGAUACCCUGGUAGUCUACGCUGUAAACGAUGCACACUUGGUGUUAAUCGAAAGGUUAGUACCGAAGCUAACGUGUUAAGUGUGCCGCCUGGGGAGUAUGUUCGCAAGAAUGAAACUCAAAGGAAUUGACGGGGGCCCGCACAAGCGGUGGAGCAUGUGGUUUAAUUCGAUGAUAGGCGAGGAACCUUACCAGGGCUUGACAUAUACAGGAUAUAGUUAGAGAUGACUAUUCCCCGUUUGGGGUCUGUAUACAGGUGCUGCAUGGUUGUCGUCAGCUCGUGCCGUGAGGUGUUGGGUUAAGUCCCGCAACGAGCGCAACCCUUAUUGUCUGUUACCAGCAUGUAAAGAUGGGGACUCAGACGAGACUGCCGGUGAUAAGCCGGAGGAAGGUGAGGAUGACGUCAAAUCAUCAUGGCCCUUAUGUCCUGGGCUACACACGUGCUACAAUGGCCUGUACAAAGCGAUGCGAAACAGUGAUGUGAAGCAAAACGCAGAAAGCAGGUCUCAGUCCAGAUUGAAGUCUGAAACUCGGCUUCAUGAAGUUGGAAUCGCUAGUAAUCGUAUAUCAGAAUGAUACGGUGAAUACGUUCUCGGGCCUUGUACACACCGCCCGUCAACAACC
This 1269-nucleotide ribosomal RNA is filed under the name Borrelia miyamotoi. Its description in RNAcentral is "bacterial SSU rRNA". It matches the Rfam family "Bacterial small subunit ribosomal RNA", at positions 146 to 1405 of the family's 1533-position model. Lineage: Bacteria; Pseudomonadati; Spirochaetota; Spirochaetia; Spirochaetales; Borreliaceae. The record is from RNAcentral.